GACAUCACAUAUAAAACACCAUGGUUCAGAUACUAAAAAAAACUCAGUGACAAUUAACCUUAAUAUAUCAGAAUAUUUAAAAAUUACCCAAACAAAUGGAGUUGCGUACCCUUUAAGGACCCUAGCUAGUGGGGAACACGAUCGAUGACCUCAUCAGCAGAGUAACAGCAAGACCCACAAACAGAUUAAUCAGUCGUCUGAUGCUCCGGUAGCAGAAGCCGUCGCCGAUCACCGCUGUAACCGCCAUAGCUACAAUCUAAGAUAGUAUUUUGUCAGCUUAUUAAGGAGAAUGUAUUUUUGGAAAAAGUAAAAAUAAAAGAGGAUAGAGCUAGGAUCUGACAAGUGGUCUCUUCCUUCUUGGUGGCUUCCCACAUGCCGACAUUCUUAUCCAUUUGAAGCUCCACUUCCCACACAGACUCGCACAGUCCAAUCUAUCCUAAACAGGCAUACGACAAAGUCGUGAGUCACGCGAUCUAUGAGUCUUCAACUUAAUAUUCCUUUAGCUAAUGUUUCUUAUAUGCUCCUCAGAAUACUCUUAUAUGAGUGUUAAACUAUAGUACAGGGCUCCA
RNAcentral lists this long non-coding RNA (569 nucleotides) under Nicotiana benthamiana. RNAcentral's name for it is "long non-coding RNA (NBEN_LNC007450)". The record is from RNAcentral. Lineage: Eukaryota; Viridiplantae; Streptophyta; Magnoliopsida; Solanales; Solanaceae.